UCAAACGUUUCUAAAGUUUUUCCCGUGAUCCGCGAUUUCUCAAAAGAUUAGCUAGUUUCCCCCAAGUGCCGAUUAUUCGUUAUAGUGUGAGCCAAGAAAAGUUAAGAAAGCCGUUCGACGGCUUUAUGUUUCGGAUACAGGCACCUCGUGAAACAACCGUCGUGAACAUCCACCAGGCAAGCCGCCGGCCCACAUCCAUCGGUGGCCGAAGGGGCCGCGCCGUUCAUAUCGCGCCCAACAUCAUCCCGCAUCUACGUCCACGUAAGUGAGUGAUCCCACCUGUGAACCUACGUAGUGCGAACCGUAACCGGGGCCGUUUUGAAUCCCCAAGCCGGUCUGCCGUCGAUAAGCUUAACAGCAUCGGCGGUCAAGUUUAAAGUCUUUGGACCACCACGUGAUCGGGAAUCAACUCACCAGCAAGACCGCUUAACGCUGUAGGGGAAUUGAUCAACGCGUUUCCUGCUUCUUUUCCCACGCCGGCGAACAAUAGCGGUUCCCACGCUAUCUGGAGCAAAGCCAAGCCGACGGACAAAGGGACCCAAGCCACGCCGUCGGACAAUAGAGGAAGGUGAGCGAACAAUGCCGGCCCGCCGACAAUAGAAUGCGGAAGCGUAAAGCGUGAGUAACAUGUGCACAUGUGACGUCAUUGGUAGAGUGUGAAAGUGUAGGGUAGA
Armigeres subalbatus is the source of this 674-nucleotide long non-coding RNA. RefSeq lists it as uncharacterized. The transcript has 3 exons. The record is from RefSeq and is a predicted model, not a curated record. Lineage: Eukaryota; Metazoa; Arthropoda; Insecta; Diptera; Culicidae.